This 648-nucleotide long non-coding RNA is filed under the name Hordeum vulgare. RNAcentral's name for it is "long non-coding RNA (HVUL_LNC011525)". Lineage: Eukaryota; Viridiplantae; Streptophyta; Magnoliopsida; Poales; Poaceae. The record is from RNAcentral.
AUCCAGCCGCACUUCCUCCCUCUCCUCCCUCCCUCCUCUCUCUGCGUGCCUCUCCUCUGAUUCACCUCAUCUUCUUCGUGCGCAAAGGCCGCAAGCGUAGCUUGUCGCGCCGCCGUCCGUCCACCCUACCGUUUGUUUUCCUCCUCUCUCAGAUCGGGGCUGGCCGGUGCAGCUCCGUUAUCUCCCUACCCUCCACCCCCACGUGUGCAGCAGCGACCCCAGAAGAAGCUUGAGCUGUUCUGGUGGUCAAUGACACCGUCACCGCCGUCCUUGGAAGCACUUCUUACCUGAAUAAAUAAGUACGGUGAAAAUCCCCUACCUUACCAGCAUCUUCCCUUCCUCCCAGCACGCACGGGUCAGUAACGGUGGCGCCACUUUGCUGCUCUUCUGCCAGCCCUCGCGGCUACCUGCGCCGGCUGAUGGAACGAGCCUGGAGUCAUCGCACGUCCCAACGUUGUGUUGCCUCUAGCACCUCGGCUUCUCUCGCAUCGCUGCAACUCCGCCUUCAUCUCUACCCGCGCCAUAGAGCAUGCCCGGCAGUGGUACCAGAACGAAGAUGGAUCAGCAUGCCUUGGUUUCCGCUCGUCUUGGAGCAUCCGUUUUCCCCUUUAUCGUGAUUUUUCUUUACCUUUCUCUUACAUGAUCACC